UCACCGGGUUUUUCUUCAUCUCCUCUCGGCGGCGACACGCGAUUUUUGCUGAGCCGGCGCUGGAGAGCUUUCCUCUCCUCCGAUGGAGUCUUCUCCCGUCCUCGGCUCGAUCCCUUGAGGUAGAUAAUCUGAUUUCGAGCAGGAAAAAUAUGAUCUUUCUCUGCUAAUUUUGCGCUGCCGUCUCUGAAAUCGGCAGGGUUUCGCUGUUUCCAAGGGAAAGGGAAAAGGGUAGGGGGAAAAGAAGACUGAUGUUUCAUUCAGGAUCCUAUCGGGGACGGCGAGGGGGAUUUCCUCCUCGUCAUCGCGCCGCCAUGGGAUUCCCCUUCAGGACCUGCCUUAUGUUCGCCGUCGUCGCCGCCCUUUUCCUCUCGGCCGCCGACAAGUCGACUGCUGCCGAGGGGGACUACGUCGUCAACUGCGGCGACUCCGGCCAGAAAUUCGACACGGACGGCCGCAACUGGAGGGGGGACACCGGCUCCAACUUUUUCCCCGGUAGCCAGAACAGCCCGGCCGCCGUCGCCAGCAAUCAAGCCUCCUCCGUCCCGCAGGUUCCCUACAUGACCGCCCGGAUCUUCACCUCCGAGUUCACCUACACCUUCCCCAUCUCCCCCGGCCGCAAAUUCGUCCGCCUCCACUUCUACCCUGCCGACUACGGCGACCACACCGCCGGCGACUCCCGCUUCGCCGCCGUCGUCUUCCCCGGGAACGUCACCCUCCUGAGGAACUUCAGCGCCUCCCAGACCGCCCAGGCGAAAAAUAUCGAGUACUUCUUCCAGGAGUUCUCGGUCAACGUCACGACAGGCUCCCUGAACCUGACCUUCUCCCCCUCGCCGGACGUCCCCAAUUCCUACGCCUUCGUCAACGGCAUCGAGAUCUUGUCAACCCCAGACAUCUUUGUCUCUCAGGACCUGACCCUCGUCGGGCGAUCCGUGAUGUAUUCCGUCGGACCGAUGGUUUCCUUCCAGACGAUGUACCGGCUGAACGCCGGCGGGAGCCGCGUCCCCCCUCCAGAGGACGCCCAGCUUUUCAGGACAUGGGAGAACGACGAAAAGUACGUACUUAACACGAGGGGCGGGGCGACGAUCUCCAAGAGCGACAACCUCACGUUCAGUUACGGCAGCGUGCCCAAUUACACGGCGCCGCCGCAGGUCUACGAGACUGCCCGAAUAAUGGGGGGCGAUGGAAGAGUCAACCUCGGCUACAAUCUCACCUGGAGAUUUCUUGUCGAUCCGGGCUUCAACUACCUCGUGAGGCUGCACUUCUGCGAGAUCGACGCCAACAUCACGAAGAGAAACGAGAGGGUCUUCGCCAUCUACCUCGACAACCAGAUGGCGGUGCAGGAUUACGAUGUGAUCAUUCGAAGCAGUGGCGGCGGGAAAGCGAACUACCUGGAUCUCGUCGUGCAGGUUCAAGUCGGAACGGAGCAGCGUUACCUCUUGCUCGAGCUCCACCCUGACACGGUAUCUAAGCCAACGUACAACGAUGCCAUCCUGAAUGGGCUGGAGAUCCUCAAGCUAAGUUCAUUCGACAGCAAUCUGGCUGGGCCUAAUCCAGUUCCCGAGGUUCAGGAGAAUCCGGGGACGGGAGGCGGGAGUCCUGUUCCCAAGCAGGGGGGUGGCUCUAAGAGUAGCGUUGCAGUCAUUGCAGGAGCCGUGGCCGGCGGUCUUGCGAUUCUGCUGCUCGUUGGUGCGGUGGUAUUCACGAUGAGGCGGAAAAAGAAGAAGCUCGUGCCGCAGAAGGAUGAGACGAGCACCAGCAAGGCGUCAUCCAGCUGGCUCCCCCUCUCUCUCUACGUCAAGAAAUCCUCCGUCUCGAUCAAGACGAACGCCUCGCGGAGCUCUGCGUCUUCUCUGCCCGCCAACCUCUGCCGUCACUUCUCAUUUGCAGAGAUCGAGGCCGCCACGAACGGCUUCCACGAGAGCCUCAUCCUCGGGGUCGGUGGGUUCGGCAAAGUCUACAGGGGCCAGAUCGACGGCGGGUCGACGGAGGUGGCCAUCAAACGUGCCAAUCCCACAGCGGAGCAGGGUAUCCGUGAGUUCCAAACCGAGAUCGAGUUGCUGUCCAAGCUCCGCCACCGCCACCUCGUCUCCCUCAUCGGCUACUGCGAGGAGAACCGGGAGAUGAUCCUGGUCUACGAUUAUAUGGCUCACGGCACACUGAGAGAGCACCUCUACAAGACCCAGAACCCGCCGCUCUCCUGGAAGCAGAGGCUGGAGAUCUGCAUCGGCGCCGCCCGCGGCCUCCAUUACCUUCACACCGGCGCAAAGCACACCAUCAUCCACCGCGACGUGAAGACCACCAACAUCCUGCUGGACGAGAAAUGGGUCGCCAAGGUUUCGGACUUCGGCCUCUCCAAGACCGGCCCGACGGUGGAUCGCACCCACGUCAGCACAGUCGUGAAGGGCAGCUUCGGGUACCUGGACCCCGAGUACUUCCGGCGGCAGGUGCUCACAGAGAAAUCUGACGUCUACUCCUUCGGCGUGGUCCUGUUCGAGGUACUCUGUGCCAGGCCAGUGUUGGACCCGCGGCUGCCAAAGGAGCAGGUGAGCCUGGCCGAGUGGGCUCUCCACUGCCAGAGGAAGGGCGUGCUCGAUCAGAUCAUGGAUCCCCAUCUCAGGGGAAAGAUCGCGCCGCAGUGCUUCAAGAAGUUCGCCGAGACGGCGGAGAAUUGCUUGGCCGACCGCGGCGUGGAUCGCCCCUCCGUGGGCGACGUGCUGUGGAACCUGGAGUUCGCUCUGAAGCUCCAGGAGAGCGCGGAUGAAGGAGGGAGCCUCCUCAGCGGAGCCGGCAUCGGCGGCGGCCACGGCAACGGCGACGACGCUGCACCGCUAUUGACGGGGAAAACCCCGCCAUCCUCUGACCCAUCUACGGAUUCACGUAGCACCGGUGUCACCUCUACCUCGACAUUCAGCAUGGACGGCCGCAGCAUCACCAGCGACUCCUCAGACGGGCUCACCCCGAGCGGCGUCUUCUCCCAGAUCAUCGACCGCAAGGGCCGCUGACACUCUCCGACGUGCCGCCCCCUCCCCACAACCUCCGUGUGCAGAAUUUCUCUGCGACCUUAUCUCUCUGUAGCGUGUACCCCACCUAGCCUUGCUCUGACGUGCUUCACCCUUCACUAGUACACGACGAGUUGAGCUCCGUCGAUUGGACUCUUCGUGUCUCCUCCGACUACUCUCCGCAGUGAUCGUUCGCAAUAACGGAAGAGGAUUUCUGUGUUGAAGAGAAAAUGCAUUCAAGAAACCACGGCACUAAUGGCGUCGACAGCCCCUCCCCGUCGCUCGUUUGGUUGCCUCAGAGGGAGAGCCAUUAGUGAUGUGGAAAGCUUUGGGGCGAGCGGGCCGAUGGAUAAGUCGGCGCCACCACCUUCAGCUGAGGCUCCCUUCUGUCUGCAACCAACGAGCUUAUCCAGCUCCCCGCCGUCUCUGACGAAGAAGAAGGUCGGCGUCUCCCGGACUUCCCACGACGAACUGAGCUUCUGCAACACGACGCGAGAAAUCGACUACUCCUGGCAGAACUUGCGCAAUUACAUAAGAGGAUUUCUAUGCUCGAGGAGAAGCUCAGAUGCAUUCGAGAAGCCACGGAAGCGCGCAGCGCCGCCGCAGAAGAUCCUCGUAUGUACUUCUAUAUAGUGUGAAUGAAUCAUUUUUAAUAUCCUAUUUUUCCAGUAAAAAAAUAAUUUCGAGGAACAUCCAUAUUUUACCUUGGAGUAGCCCUGUCCUCAUCGUUGACUUACGCAGUAACAUUUUUUGUUGGCUGAUUUAUGUUGUCAUGGAUUUAACGGAAGCCUAUAUUUAUGUAAGAUCUUGGCCAUCUGAUUUUGAAAAAUGGUCAAGACCUGCCAGCCAGUUAAUGGAAAAAUGGGAUUUUUUUCUUGUCGCGGGGAAAAAAUAUCAUAAUUUAAAUUGGAUAUUGUGUGUCAAACCCUCCCCCUAAAUAAGUAUAAGGCUAAAUGUCGUCUACAUGGUGUUCCCGUGGAUCGCCCGAUCCGACACCGGGCCGGGAAUCGGAACCCCAGACCUCGUCGGCGGCACCAUCAUCGGACUACCUCCAGCUCUCACAGGGACCAAACGCCUUCUUCUGGUGGUCUUCAGGUGCCGGUGGAGAGGGGGGGCUGGGGUUCUCGCCUCAUCGGAAUCCCCGACCGCCAGGUAGAAUCUCGACCCUCUUACGCCGCGGAGUCCCGUCUCCUCCUCCGCCGGGAAGGGGGGGGCGCUGCCGUCUUGUUUCAGCCAAGGCGGAGGAGACCAUUCUCUCGCCAACAGGAGUUUCCUGCACGGCGCGAUAGAUCCGGGUUUUGUUCUUGCGAUUUCCGAUUCUUGAUCUCCCGACGAAACCCUAGAUUAUGUGUAAACCCAUGGCCAUGCCGCAUGUUUGAAUCGCGCGCUGAUCCAGCGGGCGGUUUUCGCCUGCUGUGUAAUUCCGUGUUGGGCCUCUGAUUCCGAUUUUGCAGGCGAUGUGAUGCUCUGGACGAACCGCGGAACCGAUUCAGGGGCCUUGGAGGGGGGCGGUGGUCUCCUCUCUGCAGAUCUCCCGAGGUGGUCUCUACACCUGUGUUAUCAUCGAGUCUUCGGGAUGGCCCCUAUCCCCGUCGGGAGCCGCCGCCUCCUUCCUCCCUCCGCUCCCGUCCUUCUACUCUUCGUCUUCCUCCUCCACACCGGUCAGACCAGCGGCGACGCCUCAUCUACCGUCGCCGGGGAAUACAUCCUCCUCAACUCCGGCGGUUCUGGGCGGAUGCCCGAUUUGGACCAUCGCGUAUGGGCGGGGGACGCUGGGUCCGAGUUCCUCCCCUCAGGUCAUAACACCCUGGCCGCCGCCGCCGCCUUCCAGAGCUCUUCCGUCCCGCAAGUCCCCUACAUGACUGCCCGGAUCUUCACCUCCGAGUUCACCCACUCCUUCCCCAUCUCCCCCGGCCGCAAGUUCAUCCGCCUCCACUUCUACCCCUCUGCCUACGGCAACUACGCCGCCGGCGACUCCCGCUUCGCCGUCACGGUCUCCCCCGGGAAUUUCACUCUCCUGAGAAACUUCAGCCCCGCAGAGACCGCUCGGGCGCGCAAUGUCGACUAUCUCUUCUUCGAGUACUCGGUCAACGCGUCGACCGGCCGCCUGAACCUGACCUUCUCCCCCUCGCCGGACGUCCCCAACUCCUACGCCUUCAUCAACGGGAUCGAGGUAAUCCCCAUGGACGACAUCUUCCGUCCUGAGCUCCUCAUCGUCGUUGGGACGCCUGCGACGUUCUCUGUCGACUGCCAGACUCGCGCUUUCCA
Molecule: long non-coding RNA, 5267 nt
Filed under: Spirodela polyrhiza (greater duckweed)
Lineage: Eukaryota; Viridiplantae; Streptophyta; Magnoliopsida; Alismatales; Araceae
Description: long non-coding RNA (SPOL_LNC001793)
Source: RNAcentral